Molecule: ribosomal RNA, 580 nt
Filed under: uncultured bacterium
Lineage: Bacteria
Description: bacterial SSU rRNA
Rfam family: Bacterial small subunit ribosomal RNA
Source: RNAcentral
UGAACGCUGGCGGGCGCCUAACACAUGCAAGUCGAGCGGUAACAGGUGUAGCAAUACAUGCUGACGAGCGGCGAACGGGUGAGUAAUGCUUCGGAAUCUGCCCAAUGGUGGGGAAUAACCAGCCGAAAGGCUGGCUAAUACCGCAUAAGUCCUACGGGGGAAAGCAGGGGAUCGCAAGACCUUGCGCCGAUGGAUGAGCCGAAGUCGGAUUAGCUAGUUGGUAGGGUAACGGCCUACCAAGGCGACGAUCCGUAGCUGGUCUGAGAGGACGACCAGCCACACUGGGACUGAGACACGGCCCAGACUCCUACGGGAGGCAGCAGUGGGGAAUAUUGGACAAUGGGGGAAACCCUGAUCCAGCGACGCCGCGUGUGUGAAGAAGGCCUGCGGGUUGUAAAGCACUUUUAGUGGGGAUGAAAAGCUCAGGGCUAACACCUCUGGGUCUUGACCUAACCCAAAGAAAAAGCACCGGCUAACUCUGUGCCAGCAGCCGCGGUAAUACAGAGGGUGCGAGCGUUAAUCGGAAUUACUGGGCGUAAAGCGUGCGUAGACGGUUAUGUAAGUCGGGUGUGAAAGCCCC